Camelus dromedarius (Arabian camel) is the source of this 103-nucleotide small nuclear RNA. The record is from Ensembl. Lineage: Eukaryota; Metazoa; Chordata; Mammalia; Artiodactyla; Camelidae.
GCUCGCUCCAGCAGCACAUACUAAAAUUGGAAUGAUACAGAGAAGAUUACCACAGCCCCUGCGCAAGGAUGACACACAAAUUUGUGAAGCGUUCCAUAUUUUU